This 297-nucleotide signal recognition particle RNA is filed under the name Aotus nancymaae (Ma's night monkey). Its description in RNAcentral is "Metazoan signal recognition particle RNA (ENSANAG00000008490.1)". It matches the Rfam family "Metazoan signal recognition particle RNA". From Rfam's summary of the family: The signal recognition particle (SRP) is a universally conserved ribonucleoprotein. It is involved in the co-translational targeting of proteins to membranes. Lineage: Eukaryota; Metazoa; Chordata; Mammalia; Primates; Aotidae. The record is from RNAcentral.
GCUGAGUGGUGGCGCGUGCCUGCAGCCCCAGCUACUCGGGAGGCUGGGGUGGGAGGAUCGCUUGAACCCAGGAGCUCUGGGCUGUACUGCGCUAUGCCGAUCGGGUGUCCGCACUAAGUUUGGCAUCAAUAUGGUGACCUCCUGGGAGCAGGGGACCACCAGGUUGCCCAAGAAGGGGUGAACCGGCCCAGGUCGGAAAUGGAGCAGGUCAGAACUCCCGUGCUGAUCAGUAGUGGGAUCACGCCUGUGAAUAGCCACUGCACUCCAGCCUGGGAAAUGUAGCAAGACCCCCUCUCU